CCCGCAGGCAGAAACUCCGCUGAGCAGAACUUGCCGCCAGAAUGCUCCUCCUGUUGCUGAGUAUCAUCGUCCUCCACGUCGCGGUGCUGGUGCUGCUGUUCGUCUCCACGAUCGUCAGCCAAUGGAUCGUGGGCAAUGGACACGCAACUGAUCUCUGGCAGAACUGUAGCACUUCUUCCUCAGGAAAUGUCCACCACUGUUUCUCAUCAUCACCAAACGGUGAGGCUGGUUUUGUGCUCCGUGAGCUUGUCCUCAGAUGCCUGUAACACGUUUCUCAGUCCAGAGCUGGAAACGCUUAUUGGAAGACACAAGCCAGAAUGUUGUUGCUGGGGUGGGGUGUGAUGUGACAGGGAGCCAUCAGCCCAGGGAAAAUGGGAGGGGUGGUGAUCUCGCUGGGGAAGCUGAGAUCCUAGGCAUCAUUGUGAUUCACUCUACCUAGAGACAUGCCCUUAGCGCCCUCCUGAUCACUUAGGAUAAUGCUUUUUGUGAUUUGAAAAAAUGUCGACAUGGGAGCUGUGAAGGUGGUAUGAUAGCUAAGCCUUAGGCAGACCCCCUUGGGACAUUGGAUCAAACGUG
RNAcentral lists this small RNA (576 nucleotides) under Pongo abelii (Sumatran orangutan). RNAcentral's name for it is "retained intron". Lineage: Eukaryota; Metazoa; Chordata; Mammalia; Primates; Hominidae. The record is from RNAcentral.